Molecule: long non-coding RNA, 630 nt
Filed under: Equus asinus (donkey)
Lineage: Eukaryota; Metazoa; Chordata; Mammalia; Perissodactyla; Equidae
Description: lncRNA (ENSEASG00005024652.1)
Source: RNAcentral
CGAGAUCCGACCCGGAGGGCCGAGAGACAUGUGCGGCGAGCGGCGGGAGGGGCGGGUCCUUCCGCCCUCUGGGGCGAGCGGCUCGGCUUCGAACGCGGCUCUGAAGGCGCUCGGGCAGCGGGAGGCCUCCGGGGCUGGAGGGCCGCACCGCGCCGAGGGCUCCCACAGGCCUCGCCCGCCGCCCACCCGGGACCCCGGCGGCCCCGCUCGACAGCGGCCCGGGAACGGUCCCAGCCGGCCCUGCCCGCCGGCGCGGCACAGGCGGCCAGGAGGGCAGAAGAUGAGGGGUUACCGUACGCUGCUCCGGAGCUAGCAGGGUUAGGACGCGGCUCCAGCGACCCGAAGCCGGCUCGGCAGCGGCUGCGGCGGCCGCGUCCUUUAUUUUUGCUGCAGCAGCGGCGACUUGUCAAAGGGAACGACGUAAGAGGCGGUGGCAGCGGCGGCAGGACUGCCAGAACCCUGCAGAUGCUGGGGGCUGCCACUCCUCGGCUUUCUUUUCCGCCGAGGAACGCGGAGUUUGGUAGGAGAGACAGCACCAAGCCCUACUACAACAGCUGUGGAACACAUCUGGACCAUGUCAACAUCUCUUCCUUGUCUCUUGUAGCUGUGCCUAGCUGAACCCACCCAGGA